AUACGGAGGAUCCGAGCGUUAUCCGGAUUUAUUGGGUUUAAAGGGUGCGUAGGUGGUUGAUAAGUCAGCGGUGAAAGUCAGUGGCUCAACCAUUGAACUGCCGUUGAAACUGGUUGGCUUGAGUACGUACGGGGCAGGCGGAAUGCGUGGUGUAGCGGUGAAAUGCAUAGAUAUCACGCAGAACUCCGAUCGCGAAGGCAGCCUGCCAGGCCGUGACUGACACUGAUGC
RNAcentral lists this ribosomal RNA (229 nucleotides) under uncultured bacterium. RNAcentral describes it as "partial 16S ribosomal RNA". It matches the Rfam family "Bacterial small subunit ribosomal RNA", at positions 523 to 752 of the family's 1533-position model. The record is from RNAcentral.